AUGAACAGUAACUAAGAAACUACUGGAAGCUACGAAUGAGUCUCGCCCGCUGUCUCCUUCUCCAUUACCCGGUUACAUAUCCAGGUUAAACAAGGUUUACCGUCAAAAUGACGAUUACAGCAGGUCUUAAACGGAGAAAACGACGAUAAAGCGUCGAUUACAGUAAUUAAUACACCAAACUGGUACCGAGUAGUGCCAGAUUUCUUCUAGCUUCCGUUUAAGUGAAGUCGCUCCUUCCUUUUCCUUCCUCCGCCGGCUUCACCCUGUUGCUGUUUGUUGCUGCUUACUGACGAACUGAUCUUCUGCUACUGCGGUUCCUGACAAGUCCCCCCUCUUGACAUCAUCCUUGUCCUCAAGGAUGGAACUCUGGGAAUGAAGCUCUGACGAAUGAGACAUCCUCCCAACUUGCUUCUUCUGGUGUCAGUCCCUCCCAAUGGAUUAACCAUUGAGCCACCACUUCUCCCCGUCUGGGUAUGAUCCUCCUGUCCAAGACUGACACUGGAUGAGUUUUGAUCUUCCCUUCUGUUGUCACCAUGGGUAAACCUGGGAGAUGUACUGCUUGCUUCCCUAGAUGUUUCAUGAGCUGGCUGACAUGGAAUACAGGGUGUAUACCUGCAUCUUCUGGUAACUGAAACUUGUAAGCAGCUGCUCCAAAUUUUGCAAUCACCUUGAAUGGCCCAUAGUAUUUAGCCCUCAAUUUCAGUUAUCCUCUCAAACCAAAUGCAUUUUGACGAUAUGCUUGCAUCUUUAAGUAGACCAUAUCCCCAAUUUCCAAAGUUCUUUCAGUUCUCCUUCUGUCAGCAAAAUGUUUCAUCCUCUCUCGACCUGUCUUCAGAUUGACCUUGAUCUGUUGUAGCAUUCUCUCUUUCUCCUCCAAAAUUCUAGCCUUUUCUGAUACAUUACAUGGAAUGGAAAACUCACUGAUUUGAGGUGGGUGAUAUCCAUACAAAGCUUGAAAUGGAGUAAUCUUCAAGGCAGUAUGAUAACUAGUGUUAUACCACCAUUCUGCCAUUGUCAACCAUGUCGGCCAUUCCUUUGGUUCUUGAAAUGUCAUGCUCCUCAAAUAUGCUUCAAGGCAUUGAUUAACUCUUUCCGUUUGACCAUCACUUUGGGGGUGAUAAGCUGUACUGAACCUCAAAGACACCUUCAAUGCUUUGAAUAUCUCUUGGAAGAGCUUACUAGUAAAGACCUUAUCUCUGUCAAUCACUAUAGCUAUUGGCAUGUCAUGCAACUUAAAUAUAUUAUCCGUAAAGAUUUGAACAACCUGCUGGACAGUGUAGGGAUGAGACAUGGCUAAGAAGUGUGCAUACUUGGUAAAUCUAUCUACCACCACAAGUAUGACAUCUUUUCCCCUUGACUUCGGCAAUCCCUUGAUGAAAUCCAUUGUGAUAUGUGUCCAAGCCAUUUCUGGUACCUACAAUGGAUUCAGCAACCCUGGAAUAUGUAGAUUCUCAGAUUUUUGUCACCUGGCAGAUUGGGCAUUCAGCUACCAAUUCUUUCACUGAUGUUUUUAACUUUGGCCAGUACAAGAGCUUCUUUAUCCUCUGGUAUGUAGCUCUUCUUCCUGAAUGCCCUCCAAAAGCAGAUGAGUGGAAUGUUUUGAGUAGUAACUGCCUAGUGUUAUUGCUGGUUCCCACAUAGAUUUUUCCUUUAUACCUGAUCAGGUUGUCCACCAUUGAACAAUGAUGUAGUGGAUUUUCAGGUUGUUGGAGCUGUACCAGAAGUUGUCGACUAGUUUCAUCCCCCAAGUAACUGGCUUUAAUUUCUUCUACCCAUUCAGACUCGCACGGGAUGCCCGGCGGAGCGUAGAGCCUGCCGCCGCAGAAUGCCAGAUCAUCGUACCACCGACACCGGUAGACUCUGGAGACAUUGAUUAUCAGCGAUUGCAAAAAUAUUCUAUCACCACCAAGCUGGAACUCUUUGCCGGAGAACAUGGAGCACCUAACAUCGCUUAAGGUAUUGAAAAUCUGGCAGUGCGAAAAUAUCAUGUCACUACCAACAUUACCUCCAUCCCUCAAGAAAUUAGAACUUCUCGGGUGCAACCGUUCUCUCAUGGAGACCUGUCAGACGGAUCCAAAUUUGCAGAAGAUUCUGCAUAUCAUAGAGCUAUUUGACCAAGAGAUUUACAACCGCUAUUGCUCACACUCACUCAUCAGCCUAUUCUAAUUUGGGGCUUUGACAAGGGUUUGGAAGAUGCAUGGAG
Molecule: RNA transcript, 2203 nt
Organism: Phragmites australis (common reed)
Lineage: Eukaryota; Viridiplantae; Streptophyta; Magnoliopsida; Poales; Poaceae
Exons: 4
Source: RefSeq, a predicted model, not a curated record